This is a long non-coding RNA of Onychostoma macrolepis, 758 nucleotides long. RefSeq lists it as uncharacterized. NCBI's taxonomy places the organism in Eukaryota, Metazoa, Chordata, Actinopteri, Cypriniformes, Cyprinidae. The record is from RefSeq and is a predicted model, not a curated record. The transcript has 4 exons.
UUACGCCCCCUUGCUUUCUGUGUCAUAUUUAGUCGCCAUCCAGAAUGGCAUCUGGCUGAGGUUGUCCCACUGCAGUUAGAGUCUGAGCAAGACCGUUUCAGCGCGACGGGCACUGGUGUUACAUAACAUUACGGACGUGUUCUGUCCCUCCGUCAAACCCAUUGUCUCCCAGAUAGACUGAACGAGCUUUCAGCUUCCCAGCAUAUUGGUUGUCUGCCUGACUGAUUGGACAUCAGAAUUUACGCGUACGGAGCUGAGUGCCUAAGGCAGGGGUGGAGUCCUGGUGUUGGUGUUUCUUUCACAAGUGGUCGUGUGCGUGUGUGUCACAGGUAUAAGUGGAGGGUGGUUUGCUGUGUAGGCCGAUUAUGCCCUGCUGCCACACCUCGACUCCUGUACCUCGAUCAUUGGAUGACCUCCAUAGUUGUAUUCUGUGAAGUGUUGAAUUCAGUCUGUUAUAUGUGAACUGUUGUGCUCAGCGAUUUACUCUUCUUUCCCCUGUUUUGUAACAAACUCUUUUCUUAAAUUGUAAUAAACUAUUUUAUCUACGUCUCCUGCCAAUUUACCGUGAGCUGACCGGUGUUGCCUAAAACUAAAUUCUAUUCAUUAUAGGUCCCGGGGCUAGACCCAGGGUGGUGUAGUCGUGCUAAAUUUUUAAUCCCUUAGCGUUCCGCCACACAUGGACCACCUUUACAAAUGUUCAAAAAAAAGACCAUUGUCAAUAUUGUAGCAACUAUCAAUAUAUGAAGCACACCAACCAA